UACCCCCGUAACUUCGGGAGAAGGGGGGCCACAGACUGUCAUACCCCACGCGGGUGGCAGCAGUAGGUGGCCGCAGAGACCAGGGGGAAGCGACUGUUUACUAAAAACACAGGUCCGUGCGAAGUCGUAAGACGAUGUAUACGGACUGACGCCUGCCCGGUGCUGGAACGUUAAGGGGACCGGUUAGUCCGCAAGGGCGAAGCUGAGAACUUAAGCGCCAGUAAACGGCGGUGGUAACUAUAACCAUCCUAAGGUAGCGAAAUUCCUUGUCGGGUAAGUUCCGACCUGCACGAAUGGCGUAACGACUUCCCUACUGUCUCAACCACAGGCCCGGCGAAAUUGCACUACGAGUAAAGAUGCUCGUUACGCGCGGAAGGACGGAAAGACCCCGGGACCUUCACUAUAGCUUGACAUUGGUAUCCGAAUUUAAUUGUGUAGGAUAGGUGGGAGGCUUUGAUCCGCGGACGCCAGUCCGUCGGGGAGCCAACGUUGAAAUACCACUCUGUUGAAUUUGGGUAUCUAACUUCGGACCGUGAUCCGGUUCAGGGACAGUGUCUGGUGGGUAGUUUAACUGGGGCGGUUGCCUCCUAAAAUGUAACGGAGGCGCCCAAAGGUUCCCUCAGCCUGGUUGGCAAUCAGGUGUUGAGUGCAAGUGCACAAGGGAGCUUGACUGUGAGACUGACAGGUCGAGCAGGGACGAAAGUCGGGACUAGUGAUCCGGCACCUGCGAGUGGAAGCGGUGUCGCUCAACGGAUAAAAGGUACCCCGGGGAUAACAGGCUGAUCUUCCCCAAGAGUCCAUAUCGACGGGAUGGUUUGGCACCUCGAUGUCGGCUCGUCGCAUCCUGGGGCUGGAGUAGGUCCCAAGGGUUGGGCUGUUCGCCCAUUAAAGCGGCACGCGAGCUGGGUUUAGAACGUCGUGAGACAGUUCGGUCCCUAUCCUCCGCGCGCGUAGGAGACUUGAGAAGAGCUGUCCCUAGUACGAGAGGACCGGGACGGACGAACCUCUGGUGUGCCAGUUGUCAUGCCAAUGGCACGGCUGGUUAGCUACGUUCGGAAGGGAUAACCGCUGAAAGCAUCUAAGCGGGAAGCUCGCUUCAAGAUGAGGUCUCCCACCCCUUGAGGGUUAAGGCCCCCAGCUAGACCACUGGGUUGAUAGGCCAGAAGUGUAAGCCUGGUAACAGGUUCAGCCGACUGGUACUAAUAGGCCGAGGACUCCAA
RNAcentral lists this ribosomal RNA (1220 nucleotides) under metagenome. Its description in RNAcentral is "bacterial LSU rRNA". It matches the Rfam family "Bacterial large subunit ribosomal RNA", at positions 1723 to 2925 of the family's 2925-position model. The record is from RNAcentral.